RNAcentral lists this ribosomal RNA (253 nucleotides) under uncultured bacterium. RNAcentral's name for it is "partial 16S ribosomal RNA". It matches the Rfam family "Bacterial small subunit ribosomal RNA", at positions 524 to 776 of the family's 1533-position model. The record is from RNAcentral.
UACGAGUGGCCCAAGCGUUAUCCGGAAUUAUUGGGCGUAAAGAGCUCGUAGGCGGUUUGUCGCGUCUGCUGUGAAAACUGGAGGCUCAACCUCCAGCCUGCAGUGGGUACGGGCAAACUAGAGUGCGGUAGGGGAGAUUGGAAUUCCUGGUGUAGCGGUGGAAUGCGCAGAUAUCAGGAGGAACACCGAUGGCGAAGGCAGAUCUCUGGGCCGUAACUGACGCUGAGGAGCGAAAGCAUGGGGAGCGAACAGG